This 3289-nucleotide long non-coding RNA is filed under the name Aquilegia coerulea. RNAcentral describes it as "long non-coding RNA (ACOE_LNC001032)". The record is from RNAcentral. Lineage: Eukaryota; Viridiplantae; Streptophyta; Magnoliopsida; Ranunculales; Ranunculaceae.
UCAAUCAACAAGACAACAACUAUCUUCUUCCCCUUCAAAUUCACUUGCCACACCCUCAAUUAAUGAUAUAGGUUCCAUCUUCGUCUUCUCCAUCAGCAAAUCUUAGGUCUAAGGUUUUCUCGUUCUCAUAAUUCUCACUCCUCUCAAACCUUAGCUAGGGUUUCAUCUGCAAUUCAAUGUUAAUCACUUAGUUAGGUUGAUAAUUCCUCACUCCUCUCUAUACUCCAUUAUUUAUUAUCUUCUUCAUUCUUUUUGUUGUUAUCUCUUCACAGAUGAAUGGGGUUUCAGUUUCCAGCCACACAAAUUGCUCAACUCUUCACAAAUAAUUAGUGUGUUAUCUCUUCACAGAUAAUUGGGGUUAAUAAUAAGAACAAAUUGUUGAAUCUCUUACAGGUUAUUAUUCUCUCCCCUAACUAUAAUAUUCAAUUCAAUUUAUUGUGUGAAAAUUCUUAAAAAUUUUGUUGAAAAAACAGAUCUGACAGACCUUAUCAGACUGUUUUCUUGUUUUACACUUAGUCCCACAUGAGUUGUGGGAAGUGGGUAAAGAUGUUCAAAUACAAAAUUAUUACACUAAGGGUGUAGCCCUUUGGGUUAUCAAGUUUUCGCGCGAUAGCGCAAGGCUAUACACUUAGUUGUACACCACAACAGACGAUAGUCGUGUCUGUUGUGAACAGGCACGACUUACUCUAUAAAUUGAGUUUUGCUCUGGCCAGGCACACGAUUUAUUCAGACUAAGUCUGCUUCUCUCUCUCUCCAUAGAAAUUCGAAGUGUUCUUCUUGUUUGUUCGCCAGUAUUCUGCUAUUACAGUGCAAUCUAGCAGUUGUAUCUUGGGAGACUAUCGUCCAAUAUCCGUGUGCACCAGUAGCAGGGACGUAAUAUUGUCUUAAGGAUAUUGCUUCGGCAAGCCUUUGUUCAUCUCCUUAAUCAAUCAAGUUGUGUAGUAAGUGUUACUGUAUUCAUGAAUUCAUUUAAUAUAUUAUUAUUUGUUUACGGUUUGAAUUAGUAUAUUCUUUAUUUCUGUAAUUCGUGUAUGUUAUAUUCCUGAGUUCAUACAAUAUAAUCCCAACAAAUUUCAUAUCAUCAUUCCAAAAUCUCAGAUGGCAAAUUUUGUUUCAUUGAAACCCUAGUUUUUCAAAUACUGGAUUAAAUACUUAAAGACAUGUAGGUAUAAAUAUCAUGAAUGAACUAAGUUAUUUUUAAUAUUCAAUUCAGUUUAUUUGUUUUUUUUUUCUUUUGUUAGAUUGUGUACUUGAGUUCUGAUAAUUGGGCUUUCAUUGAUAAUUGGAUCUCACUAAUAAUUCUUUUUUCUUUAAGUUCAAUAAAGUUUAUGUCCUUAGUUAAAUGUUAGAAUGUGAUUGUUUACUGGGAACAAAUUAAUUAUAUAGGCCUAGAAUUGGAAGCCUACUUGUCUUGUAACAGAUUUUUGUCCUAGGCAUCUCUACUUCUAUUUUUGCAAAAUAAAUGCAAGAAGAUGAAUGUGUAUCUUCUACAUGAUGCAUUCAAGAGUACACACUACAGAAACAUGAAAGCAGUGUUGCAGAACACCACGACACUGUUGUGGAAUGACUUGACAAAACUGAACUGUAGGACUCCUGUUUUGUACUGGUGUACGUUGGGGUGAUAUUAGAAUUUGUUUACAAACAUUUUCUAUUUCUUUUCAAGCUCCUGCUACGAUAAAGUUUUAUAUAUUUUUCUCUUUGGAUAAUAGCUUUUGUUAAGUGUGCAUUUCUCUUGCUCCCAUUCGUUCCUGAAUUCUUUUGAACUUCUUGCUGCUCUGUAGGUCACAGUUGGCUCUUUUGUUUGAAUUCCUCAAUUUCUUGGAUAGGUGAUCAAAAAUAGUAACCAGUUUUGCGCCUUUGCUUUGGCGCAUUACUUUCUAAGUAAGAUUUUCUAUGCUAAGUACUAUAGUUUAACAUUUGGACUUAAAUAUUUUUUUUUUUUUGUUCUAGCUUAAAUAGUUAUUUAGAUCUUAUAAUCAGCCAUAUUACAAUUGAUUCUAUAUUUGGCCGUAUUAUUUUGUAUGUUGGGACAGUGGAUUGCUAUCACUUAUUUAUAUUUUUUUAGGAGGCAUAUAGUCUACUUUUUUGGUGUAAUAUGUAAUGCUCAUGGUAAAUAUGAAUGGAUAUUUUUAGUUGGCGCAUAACAACUUAUUAGUUCUUGAAUGAUGUUGGGAGGGAUUUUCUUAAAUUGAAGCUCCACAAGGAGACACUACACCGGAAAUGCUUGAGAGCAGUGGCUCAUGCAUUCUAAAAUCUAAACCAACUGGAAUCGGGAUAUCUGGUAUUCAUAUCUACUCAAUUGAUAAUUUCUUCAAUGAAGUAAAAGUUCAUAAUUUUAUAUUCUGAAUUCAUUACUAGUUUUUGUUUCAUCCAAUUUCAGAUCUUCAGUUUGUGAGAUGCCUUGUAUGCAAUCUUGAGGUUUGUUCAGAUUUACGGGUAGGUUUUACGCUAUUUUUCACUAGUAAUAGACCUACAAGCUUUCCUUCAAUGGAUUUUAAUACAUGAGAAUAAUGCAAGCCAAAAAUCUGACCAUCUAAUUUUCAAAGUUUAAAGUUUUAAAAAUUAAUUAAUCCUUUAGUUUGGUUGAUGUGUUUUUUCACUUGUAUGACAAUGUCUUUACUACAUUUUGCCCAAUAACCAUUAAGUGUUAACUUAUUUUCUAUAGUAAUAUUAUUAUUAACAUUAUUAUUUGCCGGGGAUGGGAUUGUGGUAAUGCUGAUUCUUAAGAUUGUAAUUAGAUGGAUUUGCUUAAAAAUAAAAUGGUUUAUGUUGUUCCACAUGUGGGUUAAAUUAAAAAUGAUUUAUGUUGUUGAACCGUGGUUGAUUCAGAUUUAUUACUAGUAAAAUGGUUUCUAGUAUAAGUAAUUUAUUUUUUUAUUUAUUACAGAUUGUGGAAGGAAGAUCAGCCUCAGUAUGAGAAUGACGAACUGUAAGUUUCUUGCUUUCUAACUGUUCUUUUUGUAAUUGCAUUUUCCAUUUCCAUUAGUGGUUUACCUCUGCCUCUCCUUCUAUGGGAUAGAAACUGAAAUUAGGAAACUGUCUUUUCAGUGCUUGGGUUGACAAUGUGGGGACUGUUACUUUUAUGUGUAUAAAUAUAUAUAGAUAAUGUGGUGACUGGUACUUUUGUAAGGUCUCACUACAGGCCUUGAACAUAAGAACCAUUUAGUUGGAUCGAAGUACUGAUAUUAUAUUUUUGUUUUUGAUCCAGGUAUUAUACUUUCGCUUUUUAUAAACUUUCUUUAUAAUGAGUUGUCAUGAACACUAGCUAUGGAUACUAUCUAUAUAUUCA